Molecule: ribosomal RNA, 792 nt
Filed under: uncultured bacterium
Lineage: Bacteria
Description: bacterial SSU rRNA
Rfam family: Bacterial small subunit ribosomal RNA
Source: RNAcentral
AGAGUUUGAUCAUGGCUCAGGAUGAACCUAGCGGCAGGCUUAAUACAUGCAAGUCGUGGGGCAGCAGGGGUAGCAAUACCCGCUGGCGACCGGCAAACGGGUGCGGAACACGUACGCAACCUUCCUUUAACUGGAGAAUAGCCCCUCGAAAGAGGGAUUAAUACUCCGUAACAUAUUGAUAAGGCAUCUUAUUAAUAUUAUAGCUCCGGCGGUUAAAGAUGGGCGUGCGCCUGAUUAGAUAGUUGGCGGGGUAACGGCCCACCAAGUCUGCGAUCAGUAACUGGUGUGAGAGCACGACCAGUCACACGGGCACUGAGACACGGGCCCGACUCCUACGGGAGGCAGCAGUAAGGAAUAUUGGUCAAUGGACGCAAGUCUGAACCAGCCAUGCCGCGUGGAGGAUUAAGGCCCUCUGGGUUGUAAACUCCUUUUAUCUGGGAAGAAAUGCAUUUUUUCUAAAGUGCUUGACGGUACCAGAGGAAUAAGCACCGGCUAACUCCGUGCCAGCAGCCGCGGUAAUACGGAGGGUGCAAGCGUUAUCCGGAUUCACUGGGUUUAAAGGGUGCGUAGGCGGGCAGGUAAGUCCGUGGUGAAAUCUCUGAGCUUAACUCAGAAACUGCCAUGGAUACUAUUUGUCUUGAAUAUUGUGGAGGUAAGCGGAAUAUGUCAUGUAGCGGUGAAAUGCUUAGAUAUGACAUAGAACACCAAUUGCGAAGGCAGCUUACUACACAGUUAUUGACGCUGAGGCACGAAAGCGUGGGGAUCAAACAGGAUUAGAUACCCUAGUAGUCC